This 229-nucleotide long non-coding RNA is filed under the name Elaeis guineensis (African oil palm). RNAcentral's name for it is "long non-coding RNA (EGUI_LNC043819)". Lineage: Eukaryota; Viridiplantae; Streptophyta; Magnoliopsida; Arecales; Arecaceae. The record is from RNAcentral.
GGCAGGCCACUUGGGCCAAUUGCCCUGUCUUCCUCGGAAAGAGGAAGCAGAAGGUGGAGAGCCCUCCGUCUAAUCACGAUUCUACCCCCGGAGGAUCCCUACCUUCGUUCCACCAGAAGACCCUCGAGACUCGCAAUCGAGAGGACCUCCUGGAUCAAAGAUUUCAGGAGAUGAACCGACGGAUCGAAGAGCUCUGUCAUGCUUCCACUGCUUAUGGUGAGGACAUCUG